RNAcentral lists this unclassified non-coding RNA (1092 nucleotides) under Hevea brasiliensis (rubber tree). Lineage: Eukaryota; Viridiplantae; Streptophyta; Magnoliopsida; Malpighiales; Euphorbiaceae. The record is from RNAcentral.
GUUUUGGUUCCAGAGCGGAACUUCAUCUUCUUCGAACUAACAAAUUCUCUUUCAGGUUGAAAAUGGCGUUCUCUCUUAAUACAAACCUCAACCAACCUUCUCUCAGUUGUGGAACCAAGCUAUAUUCAGGACUGAGGCUUCAAUCUCCAGGUCUGUAUGCAACUGGGAGGCCUAAUUUGACAGCAGAAUUAUUUGGCAGGGUUAACAAGAGCCUGCAAUGCGGGACUCGCAACCAUAGACCAAUAAGGGCAGGAGUUAGAAUGAUGCCUAUAGGGACACCAAGGGUGCCCUAUAGAACUCCUGGUGAGGGAACUUGGCAAUGGGUUGAUUUGUGGAAUGCCCUGUACCGAGAGCGUGUGAUCUUCAUUGGACAAAAUAUAGAUGAAGAAUUUAGCAAUCAAAUAUUGGCAACAAUGUUGUAUCUGGACACUAUCGAUGAUUCCAAAAGGAUCUAUUUGUACAUUAAUGGUCCUGGUGGAGACCUUACUCCAACCUUAGCUAUCUAUGAUACUAUGCAGAGCUUAAAAAGUCCUGUUGGUACCCACUGUGUGGGAUUUGCCUAUAAUCUAGCAGGCUUUAUUCUUGCUGCUGGGGAAAAGGGAAAUCGCUCUGCAAUGCCUCUUUCAAGAAUUGCUCUACAAUCACCUGCAGGGGCUGCUCGUGGUCAGGCUGAUGACAUUCGAAAUGAAGCAAAUGAGCUUCUUAGGAUCAAGGACUACCUUUACAACGAGUUGGCUAAGAAAACAGGACAACCUGCUGAGAAGAUUAACAAGGACUUGAGCAGAAUGAAACGCUUCAAUGCUCAGGAGGCGCUUGAAUAUGGGCUAAUUGAUCGUAUAAUCAGGCCACCUCCAGUAGAUGCUGAUGCUCGUCCGAGAGAUCCAUCAGCUGGUCUUGGUUAGUGUUUAUGUUUACGUGUUCAUCAAAUCGGCUUAUGACCAUUAGAACUUGCAGAAAUUUUCUUAGUUAUCUGUAUAAUUGGCUAUUCAGUAAGGAAGAAGCAUUUUGUUUUGUUUGUUUUUGCAACCUCCCAUAUAGUAGGAGCUACUUAAAUACUUUGAAGUUUGCCUAAAAAAAAAAAAAAAAAAAAAA